Rhineura floridana is the source of this 697-nucleotide long non-coding RNA. RefSeq lists it as uncharacterized. The record is from RefSeq and is a predicted model, not a curated record. NCBI's taxonomy places the organism in Eukaryota, Metazoa, Chordata, Lepidosauria, Squamata, Rhineuridae. The transcript has 3 exons.
UUUGUAGCAUGUGAAAAUGUUUCCUAGAUUAUCACGGCUGGCUUUGCCUGUCCGUCCUUCCUUCCUUCCGUCCUUUCCUUCCUUCCCGCUCCCCGUGGUUUGUGUUUUUAUAACUGCUGUGAAACUGGAAUGAACACAGCUCAUCACCUUCGAAACAGAUAUUUUUAAAAGGGAGAAAGAAAGGGAGUUACUCAUAUGGAAUUACUCCAAGGUUGCUAAACAAUUCUUAGGCAAACAGAUACUGCAAAUCAGCCAAAAUGGCAAAUCUGGAUUUUCCAGUUCAGAGAGAGAGAGAGAGAGAGAGAGAGAGAGAAUUGGAAGAAGAACGCAGCAAAGGCACAGAGCGAGGAGGAGCGGAUGGCAGGAAAAGGUUGGGAGCAUUGUGAAAUGUUAACGGGAGAAGUCUUGACCUUGUUGAAGGAUUCCGAUUCAGUGUUGUGGAUUUGCUUCGUACACGCAGAAGAAGCCUCUUCCCCUGUUGCUGGAGGUGAAUUAGUAUUUACAGAAGAACAUAAAGGAAGAAAGAGAAGUUGCCCCAAGGAGCAUACAAAUCAAAACUUCAAGCAGGGAAAGUGGAAAGGGAGGGUUACAAGAAUGAAGGGGAAACAGAACACAUCACGCAUGUAGAAAUAUAUAAUAAAAAAAACCCUGCUUGUAGGGCAGCAAAUUAAAAGAACUUGCAGAGUUAUAAAUGAAA